UGGAUUUAUGGAAGACAUACUGUUGCGAAAGCGUUUGGCAAGGAUAUACCCAUUGAUCAAGGACGAAAGUUAGGGGAUCGAAGACGAUUAGAUACCGUCGUAGUCUUAACCAUAAACGAUGCCAUCUAAAAGAUGGUGUACUGAGAAGCUAUCGUACACCCUUUUUUUCCGGGAAACCAAAGUUUUUGGGUUCUGGGGGGAGUAUGGUCGCAAGAUUGGAACUUAAAGGAAUUGACGGAAGGGCACCACCAGGAGUGGAGCCUGCGGCUUAAUUUGACUCAACACGGGGCAACUUACCAGGUCCGGACAUUUUUAUGAUUGACAGAUUGAUAGCUCUUUCUUGAUUGAAUGGGUGGUGGUGCAUGGCCGUUCUUAGUUGGUGGAGUGAUUUGUCUGGUUAAUUCCGUUAACGAACGAGACCUUUUCCUGCCAAGUAGUAUUAUUUUGUGUCUUUUUGGCACGAUAUUUACUUCUUUGAGGUACUAUUCGUUUUUCACGGAUGGAAGUUGUAGGCAAUAACAGGUCUGUGAUGCCCUUUGAUGUCCUGGGCUGCACGCGGGCUACACUGAUGCACUCAAAGAGUUUUCAUUUACCUAUUCCUAUAGGACUUGGGUAAUCUUUGAACUUGCAUCGUGCUUGGGAUUGAAUACUGUAACUGUAUUUAUGAACGAGGAAUUCCUUGUAAUCGCGAGUCAUCAACUUGCGUUGAUUACUCCCCUUGCCCUUAAAA
RNAcentral lists this ribosomal RNA (730 nucleotides) under Galdieria sulphuraria. RNAcentral's name for it is "bacterial SSU rRNA". It matches the Rfam family "Eukaryotic small subunit ribosomal RNA", at positions 921 to 1664 of the family's 1831-position model. Lineage: Eukaryota; Rhodophyta; Bangiophyceae; Galdieriales; Galdieriaceae. The record is from RNAcentral.